This 293-nucleotide long non-coding RNA is filed under the name Physcomitrium patens. RNAcentral describes it as "long non-coding RNA (PPAT_LNC012114)". Lineage: Eukaryota; Viridiplantae; Streptophyta; Bryopsida; Funariales; Funariaceae. The record is from RNAcentral.
UUUAUAUUUACCAAAAUUCAUCCAAUUUGACAUAAUUUCAUCCAUAUAGUUUUUUAUCUAAUAGAAUUUAAUUUCAUAAUCAAUUUCCAUCUACAUGACUCAUCCAUAAUAGCUAAUUAAUGAACUUAUCAUAUCAUCCAAAUAAGAACCAAAGGUCGUUGGUACUUUUAAAUCUAUUGCUACACCUACCUUUACAAUUUAAUGUACCACAACUCAUUCGAAGCUUCAAAUUGAAUCCAACUAAUCUUGUUAAAAAGAAGACUUAAAGAUGUAUUGAUUUUCCAAAUUUUCCC